GGUUUAUUUUCCCUAGGCAAUCGGUAAGCAGCUUUUCUUUCAGAAGUGAUGACAUUUUAUUUCUAAUUGCAUCUUGAGCAUCAUUAUUUUACUGUAUUUUUGUUAUGGGUUUGUACUUGAAAAUAUGUUUUCAGCAUUCAUGUGAUUCAAAAGCUUCAAGAAAGGACCUUUCUGAACUAUAAUAGAUUAUAGGUUGUGUGGAGUUAUGCAAUGUUACCCCUAGACUAUCCUGCAAUAUGUUAUCUGGGAUGAUUGACCAUUGAGGUUUUUAGAUUUUUUUACCUUGCAUCAUAUAUAUACAUCUUACAAGUGGAUAGCAUGUUUCACUAGAUCCUAA
Molecule: unclassified non-coding RNA, 337 nt
Filed under: Hevea brasiliensis (rubber tree)
Lineage: Eukaryota; Viridiplantae; Streptophyta; Magnoliopsida; Malpighiales; Euphorbiaceae
Source: RNAcentral